Molecule: ribosomal RNA, 506 nt
Filed under: uncultured bacterium
Lineage: Bacteria
Description: bacterial SSU rRNA
Rfam family: Bacterial small subunit ribosomal RNA
Source: RNAcentral
GGCUCAGGACGAACGCUGGCGGCGUGCUUAACACAUGCAAGUCGAGCGAUGAAGCUUCUUCGGAAGUGGAUUAGCGGCGGACGGGUGAGUAACACGUGGGUAACCUGCCUCAUAGAGGGGAAUAGCCUUCCGAAAGGAAGAUUAAUACCGCAUAAGAUUGUAAUAUCGCAUGAUAUAGCAAUUAAAGGAGUAAUCCGCUAUGAGAUGGACCCGCGUCGCAUUAGCUAGUUGGUGAGGUAACGGCUCACCAAGGCGACGAUGCGUAGCCGACCUGAGAGGGUGAUCGGCCACAUUGGGACUGAGACACGGCCCAAACUCCUGCGGGAGGCAGCAGUAGGGAAUCUUCCGCAAUGGACGAAAGUCUGACGGAGCAACGCCGCGUGAGUGAAAGAAGGUUUUCGGAUCGUAAAACUCUGUUGUCAGAGAAGAACAAGUUGGAGAGUAACUGCUCCAGCCUUGACGGUAUCUGACCAGAAAGCCACGGCUAACUACGUGCCAGCCGCCGC